Molecule: ribosomal RNA, 427 nt
Filed under: uncultured bacterium
Lineage: Bacteria
Description: bacterial SSU rRNA
Rfam family: Bacterial small subunit ribosomal RNA
Source: RNAcentral
UGGGGAAUUUUGGACAAUGGACGCAAGUCUGAUCCAGCCAUGCCGCGUGCGGGAAGAAGGCCUUCGGGUUGUAAACCGCUUUUGUCAGGGAAGAAACGAGUUUCUCCAAUACAGCGACUUAAUGACGGUACCUGAAGAAUAAGCACCGGCUAACUACGAGCCAGCAGCCGCGGUAACACGUAGGGUGCAAGCGUUAAUCGGAAUUACUUGGCGUAAAGCGUGCGCAGGCGGUUAUGUAAGACAGGGGUGAAAUCCCCGGGCUCAACCCAGGAGCUGCCUUAAUGACUGCAUAGCUAGAGUACGGUAGAGGGGGAUGGAAUUCCGCGUGUAGCAGUGAAAUGCGUAGAUAUGCGGAGGAACACCGAUGGCGAAGGCAAUUACCUGGACCUGUACUGACGCUGAGGCACGAAAGCGUGGGGAGCAAACG